UUUUUAAGUUUUCAUAGAGUGUUAAAAUUAAAAUCUUUUUUAGAAACUUUUAUAAGAGGUGAAACCAUUGCAAAAGCAAGACUAGUUCUGAGAAUGAAAGUUAAAGGGGGGGUUGAGGGAAGAUAGCAAUAUUAAAAAAGCAUAGAAAUCAUUUAUGACUUUGCAGUUCAUGUAAAACACGGCAUGCUAAACAUUUGUGGUUCUCUUUCCACAGGAAAGAACUUGCACAAGCUUUGACAAUUCCUGAAGUCAAAGUGAAGACAUGGUUCGUCCAUCGGAGAGCAGAAGAGAGGAAGAGUCAGAGGCGUGUCGUAGUACAGAGCACACCUCCUCGUAUUGAAAAGGUCCUUCUCAUUAUCGAUAGGGAUGACUAUCCCUAGAGUGCAAUCUUAGUUCAGGAGCUAGAGGGAAAUCUGGUGACACCUGUACUCAAUGUCCAGCUUCACUAAAAUUCAGCACUCAUGUUAACAAUAAAAUCAUGAAAUUCCAAGUUA
This is a long non-coding RNA of Peromyscus californicus insignis, 494 nucleotides long. RefSeq lists it as uncharacterized. The record is from RefSeq and is a predicted model, not a curated record. The transcript has 2 exons. NCBI's taxonomy places the organism in Eukaryota, Metazoa, Chordata, Mammalia, Rodentia, Cricetidae.